This 1433-nucleotide long non-coding RNA is filed under the name Astyanax mexicanus (Mexican tetra). RNAcentral describes it as "lncRNA (ENSAMXG00005009072.1)". The record is from RNAcentral. Lineage: Eukaryota; Metazoa; Chordata; Actinopteri; Characiformes; Acestrorhamphidae.
CCCUCUGUGGCCUGAGCGAGGUGCUGUUAUUCAGGCAGAAAGACUAUCACUAUUUGGUUGCGGGUAAUAUUUUUUAUUUUCAAAAUUAAUGAAAGACUGACAAACUUCUCGACUACCUCGACUCGCACGAAUGAUCUGAAACGCGAACCUGGUGAUGCCCGAGGGAAGAAUGCAUCCACCCGGACAACUUAUUCCCGUGGAUUUGCGCCACGGAUCGCGUAACGGCGUUAUCCGGCUGUUUUACAAAGUAGCAGGUAAACUUGAAAAAUAGCUAGCUAGGUAGCUAACUGGCUAACCUCGGCUUUCACCAAACUGUGGCGACUCGUAUUUAUCAGCUCUCCUCGCUCUAAGUGGACGGUGGGGCUGAAGUGAAGAGUUUAAAGAAAAGUUUGUGUGACUGGGAUAACUAGUUGGACCCAGUCUGUGAGUGUGUGUGUGCUGGCGGCUGUUCACACUAAACCUGUCGGAGCUGCUCCAUAACUUCACUCCAGCGUCCCGCUGUCUGUCUAUAGGGAGUUUUACCGAGAGUUAAAACUGAUUCUCGCGUUCAGAGCUUUUCAAUUAGGACAGAAAUAUGCGACAGAGUCGAGACCACGGGAUAUAACGCCGGGGCGUUUUUCUGGGCGGCUUUGCAUUGGCUCGAACAGUUUGGCGUGCGGCCUGCUGGUCAGGCUUUCGCCGCGUUCGAUUUGGGGCUCAAGCCGCACUAGAGCGCGCUCUGCCCGGCCGCCUCUACCAGCCACACUCGGGUUCGCCGAAGAGCCAUGGAGAGGAUGGAGGUGGACCAGUGCGCAGGCGCAGCUGGCGGAGGCGGUGCUCUGCGGCGGUCCAACAGCGCCCCCAUGAUCACUAAUGUCAGUGAUGGGAUGACCGUGUUCAGCUCUAACAGCUCAGCUCGGUAUCGGCGGAGCAGUGUGUCAGUAAACCCAAGCUGCCCUUCUAGGACCCUCCCUCUUUCCCCGUUCUCCUUGCCCAACGAGAGGCCAGAGCACAGGCGUCCGAUGGAGAAUAUGGAACUCACUCUCAGAGGGAGUUUGCAGAGAUUAAGUGCCUCAGCUGCAGUCCCUUUACCUCCUGCAGGACACUGGCAUGAGCAUCUGUCACCAGGAUUCCAUUCCCAGGACUCUGGUGUCACUCCUAAUUCUUCACCCAGUCCAACAAGAAGGUUCCGGGGGGGGUCAAUGAGUCCAGCUGUUAGAUGGCCGGUGGUUGCACCUUUAAAACGAAAAGGUGGAGUGGAAUCUGAUGGCCCACCAAAGAAGCUCUUUGUUGCUGGAGUUGCAGAUCCUGCCCAUAUAACUAGCUGCACUGUCAGUGUUUCCCAGUCUGUGGACUCUUCCUCAGGAGCUAUGCCCAUAUGUUCAAGCCCUCAGAGCAGCCCUCUUUCGCUCUCCCCUCCACCACCUUUCACCUCUCACCACCCCAGCAUCUAA